RNAcentral lists this ribosomal RNA (253 nucleotides) under uncultured bacterium. RNAcentral's name for it is "partial 16S ribosomal RNA". It matches the Rfam family "Bacterial small subunit ribosomal RNA", at positions 524 to 776 of the family's 1533-position model. The record is from RNAcentral.
UACGUAGGUGGCGAGCGUUGUCCGGAUUUACUGGGCGUAAAGGGAGCGUAGGCGGACUUUUAAGUGAGAUGUGAAAUACUCGGGCUCAACUUGAGUGCUGCAUUUCAAACUGGAAGUCUAGAGUGCAGGAGAGGAGAAUGGAAUUCCUAGUGUAGCGGUGAAAUGCGUAGGGAUUAGGAAGAACACCAGUGGCGAAGGCGAUUCUCUGGACUGUAACUGACGCUGAGGCUCGAAAGCGUGGGGAGCAAACAGG